RNAcentral lists this ribosomal RNA (424 nucleotides) under uncultured bacterium. Its description in RNAcentral is "bacterial SSU rRNA". It matches the Rfam family "Bacterial small subunit ribosomal RNA", at positions 355 to 776 of the family's 1533-position model. The record is from RNAcentral.
UAAGGAAUAUUGGUCAAUGGACGCAAGUCUGAACCAGCCAUGCCGCGUGAAGGAUGAAGGUCCUCUGGAUUGUAAACUUCUUUUAUAUGGGACGAAAAUGGGUCUUUCUAGAUCAACUGACGGUACCAUUUGAAUAAGCACCGGCUAACUCCGUGCCAGCAGCCGCGGUAAUACGGAGGGUGCAAGCGUUAUCCGGAUUCACUGGGUUUAAAGGGUGCGUAGGCGGACUGUUAAGUCAGUGGUGAAAUCUCAGAGCUUAACUCUGAAACUGCCAUUGAUACUAUCAGUCUUGAAUGUUCUGGAGGUGAGCGGAAUAUGUCAUGUAGCGGUGAAAUGCUUAGAUAUGACAUAGAACACCAAUUGCGUAGGCAGCUCACUACGGAAAUAUUGACGCUGAGGCACGAAAGCGUGAGGAUCAAACAGG